This 253-nucleotide ribosomal RNA is filed under the name uncultured bacterium. RNAcentral's name for it is "partial 16S ribosomal RNA". It matches the Rfam family "Bacterial small subunit ribosomal RNA", at positions 524 to 776 of the family's 1533-position model. The record is from RNAcentral.
UACGAAGGGGGCUAGCGUUGCUCGGAAUCACUGGGCGUAAAGCGCACGUAGGCGGAUCUUUAAGUCAGGGGUGAAAUCCCAAGGCUCAACCUUGGAACUGCCUUUGAUACUGGGGAUCUCGAGUCCGGAAGAGGUGAGUGGAACUCCGAGUGUAGAGGUGAAAUUCGUAGAUAUUCGGAAGAACACCAGUGGCGAAGGCGGCUCACUGGUCCGGUACUGACGCUGAGGUGCGAAAGCGUGGGGAGCAAACAGG